This 240-nucleotide unclassified non-coding RNA is filed under the name soil metagenome. RNAcentral's name for it is "partial contains 5.8S ribosomal RNA, internal transcribed spacer 2, and large subunit ribosomal RNA". The record is from RNAcentral.
AACCAUUCUCACCUGCGGCUAGACCUGCGGAAGGAUCAUUACACAAUAAACAUAUGAAGGCUGCACCGCCAACAGGCGGCAAGGCUGGAGUAUUUUAUUACCCUUGUCUUUUGCGCACUUGUUGUUUCCUGGGCGGGUUCGCCCGCCUCCAGGACCACAUGAUAAACCUUUUUUAUGCAGUUGCAAUCAGCGUCAGUACAACAAAUGUAAAUCAUUUACAACUUUCAACAACGGAUCUCA